Molecule: long non-coding RNA, 293 nt
Filed under: Elaeis guineensis (African oil palm)
Lineage: Eukaryota; Viridiplantae; Streptophyta; Magnoliopsida; Arecales; Arecaceae
Description: long non-coding RNA (EGUI_LNC015215)
Source: RNAcentral
UCUGAUGCCCUAAUGCUCCUCUUCCACCCCCUCUCAAGCUCUUGAAUCCCGAACACCAUCGGCACUGCCACCUCCAAGCAUCUCAUGUGCUCUCCUUUUCUACAAAUCUUUAAAAAAUAUAAUAAAAUGAAAAGAAAAAGAAGCAAAAAUUGCCCCCUUCAGCUGCACUGACUCCGGCACCACCACCCACCACCGUUCUCCAUCUCAAUCGUACUCCCUCAGAGUGCCAACGAUCUUUCGAUUGAAGCGACCGUCAUGAUGGAGCGACGUUGGGCUUUUAGGUGGCCGAGGUG